CUGCGCUUGGAUAAUGCAAAGGGAAUCUUUUGAAUACAAGCUAUUUCAAGAUACCCAUGUAUAUCUUCCAAGAAUAUAAUAUAUAUUCUUAUGAUAAGAAAUAGCAUCCUGGAAGGUAAAAAUAAUUUAAACAGAGGAUCAACAAAUUCUGAAUGCAGAAAGAAGAAAAGAUUAAGUAAGAUAAUAUAUCGCAAUGAUAAUGCCAUCACAAGAGCUACACAUCCUCUGCUGGUAUGUGUUUUGAGGAGAACAUGGGUCUGAAAAGACUUUAGAGACAAAAGAAUGAUCUGAUAAUUAUGCAUUAGGCAAAAUUAAUAAGCAGGGUAAUUUAUUUUCUUGAUCGGAAGAGAAGAUUUACAAAGAAUUUGAUCAUGGCCCAAGUAUUUGUACACAGGAAAGCAUGUUCUUGUGUACUCUAGUCUUCAAAAAGCAAAAGCAUCACCAUGUGAUUUCUGACUUUCUGGAUUUCAGAACCAGUAUUUGAGUUGAUCUGAACAAGAGUACUUCAUAAAGGCGUAAAAUCAGACAUACAUUGAGAUCAUUUAGAAGGAGAUACAGCUCUUCUAAGCCAUGUCGUUCAACAUUUUUGCCAAAGCAUAAUUGUCUGGAAUAUCCACUUAUGUAUUAAAACAGAACUUUAAAUUAGUUGCAUUCUGCCAAGUAAUCUAAAGGUUUU
Molecule: non-coding RNA, 676 nt
Organism: Sturnus vulgaris (Common starling)
Lineage: Eukaryota; Metazoa; Chordata; Aves; Passeriformes; Sturnidae
Source: RefSeq, a predicted model, not a curated record